GUGUUCGUUGAGCCGAGAGAAGGUUAGCAUCUCCCUCGACAAGGACGGGAUUGCGCGUAUGCGUAUCCAACCACUGGAUGGUUUAAGCUCUGUCCUCCUCCGUGAAGACAUCUACCAGUUUUUUUU
Molecule: small nuclear RNA, 126 nt
Organism: Phytophthora sojae
Lineage: Eukaryota; Oomycota; Peronosporomycetes; Peronosporales; Peronosporaceae
Source: Rfam